MicroRNA precursor from Nicotiana attenuata, 94 nucleotides. It matches the Rfam family "MIR6152 microRNA precursor family". NCBI's taxonomy places the organism in Eukaryota, Viridiplantae, Streptophyta, Magnoliopsida, Solanales, Solanaceae. The record is from Rfam.
UGUAUUCGACUGUAUUUGACUGUAUUCACGACGUGAAACAGGGGAUUACACUGUUUUUAAACAGAAAGUAUAUCAAUUAACAUAAUAGACUACU